RNAcentral lists this ribosomal RNA (490 nucleotides) under uncultured bacterium. RNAcentral's name for it is "partial 16S ribosomal RNA". It matches the Rfam family "Bacterial small subunit ribosomal RNA", at positions 30 to 507 of the family's 1533-position model. The record is from RNAcentral.
AUUGAACGCUGGCGGCAGGCUUAACACAUGCAAGUCGAGCGGUAGCACAGGGGAGCUUGCUCCCUGGGUGACGAGCGGCGGACGGGUGAGUAAUGUCUGGGAAACUGCCUGAUGGAGGGGGAUAACUACUGGAAACGGUAGCUAAUACCGCAUAACGUCGCAAGACCAAAGAGGGGGACCUUCGGGCCUCUUGCCAUCAGAUGUGCCCAGAUGGGAUUAGCUAGUAGGUGGGGUAAUGGCUCACCUAGGCGACGAUCCCUAGCUGGUCUGAGAGGAUGACCAGCCACACUGGAACUGAGACACGGUCCAGACUCCUACGGGAGGCAGCAGUGGGGAAUAUUGCACAAUGGGCGCAAGCCUGAUGCAGCCAUGCCGCGUGUGUGAAGAAGGCCUUCGGGUUGUAAAGCACUUUCAGCGAGGAGGAAGGUGGUGAGCUUAAUACGUUCAUCAAUUGACGUUACUCGCAGAAAAAGCACCGGCUAACUCCGUG